This 440-nucleotide ribosomal RNA is filed under the name uncultured bacterium. RNAcentral's name for it is "partial 16S ribosomal RNA". It matches the Rfam family "Bacterial small subunit ribosomal RNA", at positions 338 to 795 of the family's 1533-position model. The record is from RNAcentral.
CCUACGGGAGGCAGCAGUGGGGAAUAUUGCACAAUGGGGGAAACCCUGAUGCAGCGACGCCGCGUGAAGGAAGAAGUAUUUCGGUAUGUAAACUUCUAUCAGCAGGGAAGAAAAUGACGGUACCUGACUAAGAAGCCCCGGCUAACUACGUGCCAGCAGCCGCGGUAAUACGUAGGGGGCAAGCGUUAUCCGGAUUUACUGGGUGUAAAGGGAGCGUAGGCGGUUCAGCAAGUCAGAAGCUAAAGCCCAGGGCUCAACUCCGGGACUGCUUUUGAAACUGUUGAACUAGAGUGCAGGAGAGGUAAGUGGAAUUCCUAGUGUAGCGGUGAAAUGCGUAGAUAUUAGGAGGAACACCAGUGGCGAAGGCGGCUUACUGGACUGUAAAUGACGCUGAGGCUCGAAAGCGUGGGGAGCAAACAGGAUUAGAUACCCUGGUAGUC